This 439-nucleotide ribosomal RNA is filed under the name uncultured bacterium. RNAcentral's name for it is "partial 16S ribosomal RNA". It matches the Rfam family "Bacterial small subunit ribosomal RNA", at positions 339 to 795 of the family's 1533-position model. The record is from RNAcentral.
CUACGGGUUGCUGCAGUGGGGAAUAUUGCACAAUGGGGGGAACCCUGAUGCAGCAACGCCGCGUGGAGGAUGACACAUUUCGGUGCGUAAACUCCUUUUAUAUGUCAAGAUAAUGACGGUAGCAUAUGAAUAAGCUCCGGCUAACUCCGUGCCAGCAGCCGCGGUAAUACGGGGGGAGCAAGCGUUACUCGGAAUCACUGGGCGUAAAGAGCAUGUAGGCGGGUAAAAAAGUUAGAAGUGAAAUCCUAUGGCUUAACCAUAGAACUGCUUCUAAAACUCUUUACCUAGAAUAUGGGAGAGGUAGAUGGAAUUUCUGGUGUAGGGGUAAAAUCCGUAGAGAUCAGAAGGAAUACCGAUUGCGAAGGCGAUCUACUGGAACAUAAUUGACGCUCAGAUGCGAAAGCGUGGGGAGCAAACAGGAUUAGAUACCCUUGUAGUC